CCAGGAUUGGAACUUCCUAUAGUUGGCAUAGGAGGUUGGCAUGACUGCCUUGGUCUGAAUGGUAUUGUCACAAUAAGCUCUAUAAAAAUUGUUGAAAUUAUUAUCAGUUAAUUAUUUUCUAGAGGUGUUAAAUUUCACUCAUAUCAGUAACCAAACAUAAUUGUUCAUAAGUGUUCUUACCAGUGACGUGCGUGAACUGAUGGAACAGAAGUAGACGAAGCAGCUACUUUUGAAACCAGUGCAAUUCCCCAAACAAGUGAUGGAAAUAUUUCCUCGUGUGAGAAAAUUUUGUCUGAAAUCACCCCCUCCACUAGUAAUUACCGUAAGCCCUGCAAACGUAAAAGGAACCCUGAGGCCCACGAAGCAUAUGAAGUUAUGAAAAAACUUCAAUAACGGAUGAAACAAAAAGAUGACUGUGAUGUAUUCGCUGAAAAUGUUGCUUGUCAGCUGCGUCAAAUCACCGAUAUUCGAUCCCAAAUGAUAGCAAAACAUAGAAUAAAUCAGGUUUUGUUCGAAAUUGGAAUGUCUCAAUUCGACAUUUCUUAUAACCCGCCAUCAAAUGGAUCUUCUAGGCCUUCAAGCGCUGGUCUGGACCACCAGUUUAAACCAAUAGCCGACACGCUCGCAGUCGUCAACAAUCUGGACAAUGGUGAUGACCCCGCAAAAAAUACCUAUACAGCAUUACAGUAAUUUUGUUUGUUGUUUUUGGCCCUUUUCAGUUUUUUUUAUUGACCUAUGUUAUACUUUUUUUUAUUUUUAAACUUUAAGUGGAGCCAAGUAGGCCUGCAUUCGUUUCUAAAUGUUUGAUAGACUCUAAUAUUGAACUUGUGGUUAUGUAACCUGUAACGUAUUAAAUAAAUGUUAACGAUAAUAAAGAUAUUGUCAGUGAUUAGUU
This is a long non-coding RNA of Nilaparvata lugens (brown planthopper), 895 nucleotides long. RefSeq lists it as uncharacterized. The transcript has 2 exons. The record is from RefSeq and is a predicted model, not a curated record. NCBI's taxonomy places the organism in Eukaryota, Metazoa, Arthropoda, Insecta, Hemiptera, Delphacidae.